Molecule: ribosomal RNA, 433 nt
Filed under: uncultured bacterium
Lineage: Bacteria
Description: partial 16S ribosomal RNA
Rfam family: Bacterial small subunit ribosomal RNA
Source: RNAcentral
AACGAACGCUGGCGGCAUGCCUAACACAUGCAAGUCGAACGAAGGCGUCGGCCUUAGGGGCGCACGGGUGCGUAACGCGGGGGAAGCUGCCCGUGGCUUCCGAAUAACAGUUAGAAAUGACUGCUAAUACCGGAGGAUGUCGCAAGACCAAAGAUCUACCGGCAAAGGCUGAGCCCGCGUAGGAUUAGCCAGUUGGGGGGGUAUAGGCCUACCAAGGCGACGAUCCUUAGCUGGUCUGUGAGGAUGCUCAGCCACACUGGGACUGAGGCCCGGCCCAGACUCCUACGGGACGCAGCAGUGGAGAAUAUUAGGCGCUGAGCGCAAGCCUGAUCCAGCCGUGCCGCGUGAGUGAUGCAGGCCUUAGGGUUGUAAAUCUCUUUUACCCGGGAUGAUAAUGACGGUACCGGGAGAAUAAGCUCCGGCUAACUCCGUG